RNAcentral lists this ribosomal RNA (400 nucleotides) under uncultured archaeon. RNAcentral's name for it is "bacterial SSU rRNA". It matches the Rfam family "Archaeal small subunit ribosomal RNA", at positions 279 to 681 of the family's 1478-position model. The record is from RNAcentral.
AGAGCGGGAGCCCGGAGAUGGGCACUGAGACAAGGGCCCAGGCCCUACGGGGCGCAGCAGUCGCAAAAACUCCGCAAUGCGCGAAAGCGUGACGGGGCUACCCCGAGUGCCGUCCGCUGAGGAUGGCUUUUUCCUGGUGUAAUGAGCCGGGGGAAUAAGGAGAGGGCAAGACUGGUGUCAGCCGCCGCGGUAAUACCAGCUCUCCGAGUGGUAGGGACGAUUAUUGGGCUUAAAGCGUCCGUAGCCGGCUUAGCAAGUCUUCUGUUAAAUUCAGCGACCCAAUCGUUGAGCCGCGGAAGAUACUGUUAGGCUAGGAGGCGGAAGAGGCCGACGGUAUUCUCGGGGUAGGGGUGAAAUCCUAUAAUCCCGGGAGGACCACCAGUGGCGAAGGCUGUCGGCU